GUGGGUAGUUUGACUGGGGCGGUCUCCUCCCAAAGCGUAACGGAGGAGCACGAAGGUUAGCUAAUCCUGGUCGGACAUCAGGAGGUUAGUGCAAUGGCAUAAGCUAGCUUGACUGCGAGCGUGACGGCGCGAGCAGGUGCGAAAGCAGGUCAUAGUGAUCCGGUGGUUCUGAAUGGAAGGGCCAUCGCUCAACGGAUAAAAGGUACUCCGGGGAUAACAGGCUGAUACCGCCCAAGAGUUCAUAUCGACGGCGGUGUUUGGCACCUCGAUGUCGGCUCAUCACAUCCUGGGGCUGAAGUAGGUCCCAAGGGUAUGGCUGUUCGCCAUUUAAAGUGGUACGCGAGCUGGGUUUAGAACGUCGUGAGACAGUUCGGUCCCUAUCUGCCGUG
Molecule: ribosomal RNA, 389 nt
Filed under: Klebsiella pneumoniae
Lineage: Bacteria; Pseudomonadati; Pseudomonadota; Gammaproteobacteria; Enterobacterales; Enterobacteriaceae
Description: partial 23S ribosomal RNA
Rfam family: Bacterial large subunit ribosomal RNA
Source: RNAcentral